This 429-nucleotide ribosomal RNA is filed under the name Chloroflexota bacterium. RNAcentral describes it as "Chloroflexi bacterium partial 16S ribosomal RNA". It matches the Rfam family "Bacterial small subunit ribosomal RNA", at positions 355 to 776 of the family's 1533-position model. The record is from RNAcentral. Lineage: Bacteria; Bacillati; Chloroflexota.
UGGGGAAUAUUGCACAAUGGGCGCAAGCCUGAUGCAGCCAUGCCGCGUGUAUGAAGAAGGCCUUCGGGUUGUAAAGUACUUUCAGCGGGGAGGAAGGGAGUAAAGUUAAUACCUUUGCUCAUUGACGUUACCCGCAGAAGAAGCACCGGCUAACUCCGUGCCAGCAGCCGCGAUAAUACGGAGGGUGCAAGCGUUAAUCGGAAUUACUGGGCGUAAAGCGCACGCAGGCGGUUUGUUAAGUCAGAUGUGAAAUCCCCGGGCUCAACCUGGGAACUGCAUCUGAUACUGGCAAGCUUGAGUCUCGUAGAGGGGGGUAGAAUUCCAGGUGUAGCGGUGAAAUGCGUAGAGAUCUGGAGGAAUACCGGUGGCGAAGGCGGCCCCCGGGACGAAGACUGACGCUCAGGUGCGAAAGCGUGGGGAGCAAACAGG